RNAcentral lists this ribosomal RNA (496 nucleotides) under uncultured bacterium. RNAcentral's name for it is "partial 16S ribosomal RNA". It matches the Rfam family "Bacterial small subunit ribosomal RNA", at positions 29 to 507 of the family's 1533-position model. The record is from RNAcentral.
AUGAACGCUGGCGGCGUGCCUAAUACAUGCAGGUCGAGCGCACGGACGAGAAGCUUGCUUCUCUGAUGUUAGCGGCGGACGGGUGAGUAACACGUGGAUAACCUACCUAUAAGACUGGGAUAACUUCGGGAAACCGGAGCUAAUACCGGAUGAUAUUUUGAACCGCAUGGUUCAAAAGUGAAAGACGGUCUUGCUGUCACUUAUAGAUGGAUCCGCGCUGCAUUAGCUAGUUGGUAAGGUAACGGCUUACCAAGGCAACGAUGCAUAGCCGACCUGAGAGGGUGAUCGGCCACACUGGAACUGAGACACGGUCCAGACUCCUACGGGAGGCAGCAGUAGGGAAUCUUCCGCAAUGGGCGAAAGCCUGACGGAGCAACGCCGCGUGAGUGAUGAAGGUCCUCGGAUCGUAAAACUCUGUUAUUAGGGAAGAACAUAUGUGUAAGUAACUGUGCACAUCUUGACGGUACCUAAUCAGAAAGCCACGGCUAACUACGUG